Mercurialis annua (annual mercury) is the source of this 990-nucleotide long non-coding RNA. RefSeq lists it as uncharacterized. Lineage: Eukaryota; Viridiplantae; Streptophyta; Magnoliopsida; Malpighiales; Euphorbiaceae. The record is from RefSeq and is a predicted model, not a curated record. The transcript is spliced from 3 exons.
UAUUAGUAAUAAACGAUCGUCAUAGUUUCAUAAGUAUACGAAAUCGUGUAGAAGAUAGUUUGAUGAUUAGUUAAGAAUAAGGGUUAAAGUGCAAAUUAGCCACUUUAAGGACUAAAGUGAACUUUUAACCAUAAACUUUCGGAGGAAGUUGUGUUUUAAUCUAUUUUCUCAAGAUAAGAAAAUAAUAUCGAUAAAGUGGUUAUCGAUGGUCAUUAAGAUGAAAUAUUGGACGAAAAAGUACAAGUUAGCUCAAAAUGGAAAUUUGAGCGUUUUUAGCCAAAAUUGCCAAGAUAAAUUAUUGGAAAGUGAUAUUAAAAGAUAUGAGACUAAUGUUAUUUAUUUGAGAAAUAAAUAAUACGGAAUAUAUCGAGAAUCGAAUGAUUAAAAGAUUAGUGGACUAAAUUGUACGAAAGAUAAGCUAGAAAGUGAAGAGAAAGGAGGUGACAACUUCAAGGACUUAAGUGGACUUUUUACCCACUUAUUAGCAUCUUUUAUGAAUGAAUAAUCAUUCAUUCAAACACAAUUUUGCAGCCAAAGGAGAAGAAUCCCGUAACUCUCCUCUUAAAUUUCUCACAAAUCUUCAAAACAUCAUAUCUCAUUCGUUUUAAGUCCGAAUUGAGCGAUUCUUGCGGCCACGGAACGAGGAAAGGAUUCUCUACAGAUCUAUGGCUUCAAUUUGAGACUCGAAGAAGCGACUAUCGAUAAGGCUCGAGGCAAACGGAUCGAGAUAUCGUCCAGCUUAUUUGAAGAAUUUGGAUAGCAAGUGGGAUAGCAUGAUAUGAUUUGAAGAGUCAAUCUUCCGAAGUCCUGAUUCUCGGAAGUGAUUUGUACAAGAAGAAAAAGAAUGUUUUCAUUCUAGCAGUCCGCAGUAGUCUAGCAUUUGUUAACUAUACUAUUGUAUAACGCGUUUUAACUCUUAUAUUAUUUGUAAAUGGGGUCAUAUGUAUUUUACUAUAUGAAAUAUGUUUUGAUUUGCGAAAAAUUUACACA